UACAGAGGGUGCAAGCGUUGCUCGGAAUCAUUGGGCGUAAAGGGUAGGUAGGUGGUCUCAUUUGUCUGGGGUGAAAGCCCAGGGCUUAACCCUGGAAGUGCCCCGGAAACGGUGAGACUGGAGUCCUGGAGAGGGUCGUGGAGUUCCCGGUGUAGCGGUGAAAUGCGUAGAGAUCGGGAGGAACACCAGUGGCGAAGGCGGCUACCUGGACCAGCACUGACACUGAGGCACGAAAGCGUGGGGAGCAAACAGG
RNAcentral lists this ribosomal RNA (253 nucleotides) under uncultured bacterium. RNAcentral describes it as "partial 16S ribosomal RNA". It matches the Rfam family "Bacterial small subunit ribosomal RNA", at positions 524 to 776 of the family's 1533-position model. The record is from RNAcentral.